CCAGACUCCUACGGGAGGCAGCAGUAGGGAAUAUUGCUCAAUGGGGGAAACCCUGAUGCAGCAACGCCGCGUGAGUGAAGAAGUAUUUCGGUAUGUAAAGCUCUAUCAGCAGGGAAGAAGAUGACGGUACCUGAGUAAGAGGCCCCGGCUAACUACGUGCCAGCAGCCGCGGUAAUACGUAGGGGGCAAGCGUUAUCCGGAUUUACUGGGUGUAAAGGGCGUGCAGCCGGGAGUGCAAGUCAGAUGUGAAAUCCCGCGGCUCAACCGCGGAACUGCAUUUGAAACUGUGCUUCUUGAGUGCUGGAGAGGCAGACGGAAUUCCUAGUGUAGCGGUGAAAUGCGUAGAUAUUAGGAGGAACACCAGUGGCGAAGGCGGUCUGCUGGACAGUAACUGACGGUGAGGCGCGAAAGCGUGGGGAGCAAACAGGAUUAGAUACCCCCGUACG
This 446-nucleotide ribosomal RNA is filed under the name uncultured bacterium. Its description in RNAcentral is "bacterial SSU rRNA". It matches the Rfam family "Bacterial small subunit ribosomal RNA", at positions 331 to 793 of the family's 1533-position model. The record is from RNAcentral.